AACAUCGCGCACCUGCGGGAACCUGCGGAAGGAUCAUUACCGAGUGAGGGCCCUCCGGGUCCAACCUCCCACCCGUGUUUAUCGUACCUUGUUGCUUCGGCGGGCCCGCCGCAAGGCCGCCGGGGGGCGUCCGUCCCCGGGCCCGCGCCCGCCGAAGACACCUGUGAACGCUGUAUGAAGCUUGCAGUCUGAGCGAAAAGCUAAAUCGUUAAAACUUUCAGCAAUGGAUCUCAGAUCGGA
RNAcentral lists this unclassified non-coding RNA (240 nucleotides) under soil metagenome. Its description in RNAcentral is "partial contains 5.8S ribosomal RNA, internal transcribed spacer 2, and large subunit ribosomal RNA". The record is from RNAcentral.